This 497-nucleotide ribosomal RNA is filed under the name uncultured bacterium. RNAcentral's name for it is "partial 16S ribosomal RNA". It matches the Rfam family "Bacterial small subunit ribosomal RNA", at positions 28 to 507 of the family's 1533-position model. The record is from RNAcentral.
GAUGAACGCUGGCGGCGUGCCUAAUACAUGCAAGUCGAGCGAACAGAUGAGGAGCUUGCUCCUCUGACGUUAGCGGCGGACGGGUGAGUAACACGUGGAUAACCUACCUAUAAGACUGGGAUAACUUCGGGAAACCGGAGCUAAUACCGGAUAAUAUAUUGAACCGCAUGGUUCAAUAGUGAAAGACGGUUUUGCUGUCACUUAUAGAUGGAUCCGCGCCGCAUUAGCUAGUUGGUAAGGUAACGGCUUACCAAGGCAACGAUGCGUAGCCGACCUGAGAGGGUGAUCGGCCACACUGGAACUGAGACACGGUCCAGACUCCUACGGGAGGCAGCAGUAGGGAAUCUUUCGCAAUGGGCGAAAGCCUGACGGAGCAACGCCGCGUGAGUGAUGAAGGUCCUCGGAUCGUAAAACUCUGUUAUUAGGGAAGAACAAAUGUGUAAGUAACUAUGCACGUCUUGACGGUACCUAAUCAGAAAGCCACGGCUAACUACGUG